AGAGUUGUAUCCUGGCUCAGAAUGAACGCUGGCGGCGUGCUUAACACAUGCAAGUCGAACGAGAACGGGACUAGCUUGCUAGUCUGUCAGCUAAGUGGCGCACGGGUGAGUAAUGUAUAGGCAACCUGCCCCCUAGAGUGGGAUAACGUUUGGAAACGGACGCUAAUACUGCAUACUCCUUCUUUUCACAAGAAGAGAAGGGAAAUGAAUUUCGCUAGGGGAUGGGCCUUUAUUGUAUCAGCUAGUUGGUGGGGUAACGGCCUACCAAGGCUAUGACACAUAGCUGAUCUGAGAGGAUGAUCAGCCACACUGGUACUGAGACACGGACCAGACUCCUACGGGAGGCAGCAGUGGGGAAUAUUGCACAAUGGGGGAAACCCUGAUGCAGCAACGCCGCGUGGAGGAUGACACAUUUCGGUGCGUAAACUCCUUUUAUAGGUCAAGAUAAUGACGGUAGCCUAUGAAUAAGCACCGGCUAACUCCGUGCCAGCAGCCGCGGUAAUACGGAGGGUGCAAGCGUUAUUCGGAAUCACUGGGCGUAAAGAGCAUGUAGGCGGGUUCAUAAGUCAGGUGUGAAAUCCUAUGGCUCAACCAUAGAACUGCACUUGAAACUGUGAACCUAGAGUAUGGAAGGGGCAGAUGGAAUUAGUGGUGUAGGGGUAAAAUCCGUAGAGAUCACUAGGAAUAC
RNAcentral lists this ribosomal RNA (688 nucleotides) under uncultured Campylobacterota bacterium. RNAcentral describes it as "bacterial SSU rRNA". It matches the Rfam family "Bacterial small subunit ribosomal RNA", at positions 8 to 709 of the family's 1533-position model. Lineage: Bacteria; Pseudomonadati; Campylobacterota. The record is from RNAcentral.